This 404-nucleotide ribosomal RNA is filed under the name uncultured Coriobacteriaceae bacterium. RNAcentral describes it as "bacterial SSU rRNA". It matches the Rfam family "Bacterial small subunit ribosomal RNA", at positions 355 to 776 of the family's 1533-position model. The record is from RNAcentral. Lineage: Bacteria; Bacillati; Actinomycetota; Coriobacteriia; Coriobacteriales; Coriobacteriaceae. RNAcentral also lists the same sequence under 1 other name.
UGGGGAAUUUUGCGCAAUGGGCGAAAGCCUGACGCAGCAACGCCGCGUGCGGGAUGAAGGCCUUCGGGUUGUAAACCGCUUUCAGCAGGGAUGAAACUGACAGUACCUGCAGAAGAAGCCCCGGCUAACUACGUGCCAGCAGCCGCGGUAAUACGUAGGGGGCAAGCGUUAUCCGGAUUCAUUGGGCGUAAAGAGCGCGUAGGCGGCUUGUUAAGCGAGAUGUGAAAACCGGGGGCUUAACCCGCGGCCUGCAUCUCGAACUGGCAGGCUUGAGUCUGGUAGAGGAGUGUGGAAUUCCCAGUGUAGCGGUGAAAUGCGCAGAUAUUGGGAGGAACACCAGUGGCGAAGGCGGCACUCUGGGCCACGACUGACGCUGAGGCGCGAAAGCUAGGGGAGCAAACAGG